This 168-nucleotide ribosomal RNA is filed under the name candidate division WWE3 bacterium RIFOXYC1_FULL_42_13. RNAcentral describes it as "partial 23S ribosomal RNA". It matches the Rfam family "Bacterial large subunit ribosomal RNA", at positions 2759 to 2925 of the family's 2925-position model. Lineage: Bacteria; candidate division WWE3. The record is from RNAcentral.
CUUGAUAAGUGCUGAAAGCAUCUAAGCACGAAGCAAACCUCAAGAUUAAAGCCGUUCCGCUUUAAGCGGACACAAUUCCUGGGAGACUACCAGGUUGAUAGGCCGUAGGUGUAAGCACAGCAAUGUGUUCAGCCGAGCGGUACUAAUUAUUUGUGAGUCUUUACUUAC